This is a long non-coding RNA of Mauremys reevesii (Reeves's turtle), 2675 nucleotides long. RefSeq lists it as uncharacterized. The record is from RefSeq and is a predicted model, not a curated record. The transcript is spliced from 2 exons. Lineage: Eukaryota; Metazoa; Chordata; Testudines; Geoemydidae.
GCAGUAGGUUUACGGUCAGGUGCCGUGUGGGGCAGGAAUCCGUCUCCACCUCCCCAACCCGGCGUACGGCCACGGCCAGUCACUCACCGCCAUGCAGCCUGCGGGGGCCGGUGCCGCUGACGGUUUCGGCCCGUUGGCCCCCACCCAGCGUUGUAGGAAGCCGCGGGCCGCCCUGGACCGGGUGCGGCUGUGGAGCGUCCCUGGGACCAGGCGAACCGCCCCGCCUCCGAGCACUCGAGACCGGCAUAAAAGUGAGAGCUAAUCGCACAGGCCAGAGCAGCGAUGUCUGAUGGAAAGCUAACCUGGAAGUAAUUUUGUUCUGAGAAAGUCAUCUCUACUGUCAUUCCAAAUCCUAUGGACUACUUAUGCCCCAUUUAAUUCUGAAGAUGGUAACCAGCUCCAAAGGUAAUAGGUGUAUGCAGAUUUUACUGCGUAUUCCAGUGACAUUUAAAAUUUCACAUUUUUCCCAAAUAUUUAAUUGUGUUCCAGUUGAGGGAGCCCUGAAAACAAAACAUUUAAAAUGGGGUGGGGAGAGGGAGGAAAUCCUGCUGAGACUAUUGUUCUUGCAUUCAACAAAAAUCAUCCAGAGUGAAAGAUGUACCUCUGAGGUAAAAAGAGAAACGAGGAAAGUCAAGUGGAAAAAAAAAUGAACACAAAACUUAAGUAUUACUCUGUGCCAAAAACUAAAUAGGCAGCCUCUUGUCUUAAAUAACCGCUUUAAAAUAUUGCUCUAUACUGUCUAGUACAGUAUUAUUUGAUGUAUACUAAGAGACAGCUUCUGCUAGCAAACCUUUUGCUAAUUGCUUAAAGUUUUCAAUGUAAGUAAAAUGUAUAAGAAAAAUGAAGAACAAUUGUUAAGACUUUUCAGUUAAGAUUGACCAAAAUUGUGAUUCUUAGAGCACAAGACUGGUGAAAGAAUAGUUAGCUAUACAAUUCUGUCCUCACAGCAGUGAAACAUAGUUGAAUAUCUUUGUGGAAUUGUCAUAAAUCCAGUCCAGUAUUCUUAAACUAUUGAUUUAUUCCACACUACAGCCCCAAUCCUGCAAAUUUCCAUGGCCAGACCCUGUGCUUAUGUACAAUAAAAUGCAGGAUCAGGGCUUAAAAGGGAAUCAGCACUAGAAUUCUCCUUUCUUUUUUUUUAAUGCCAACUUCAAAAAAGAAACUCACAAGCAGGCUAUUGCUUAGACAAGGUGUAGAAGAAAGGAAAUUAUUUUUAACUUAAACAGGAACAAAGUAAAAAUCUGACAUGGCACUUCUUUCCUAUCCAAACGUUAAAAGGCACUUUUAAUUGCAAAUCCUACAGUCCUCACUUAGGCAAAAAUGAGUAAAUGCUGCAAUAUGAUCACUUGUCAUUCAUCUUAUUGUUAAAGAAACAAACUAUUUCCCAGUCUAUUUAUAUAGUUCCUUGGUCUGCGUGUAUAGUUAGGACACACAAAACUGUAGAAGAAAAAUAUACAAAAAUAUAUUGGUAAGAAGUAGAAUCAUCUUCAGAUGGGAUACUCAAGCAUCCUUGGUUCUAGAGAAUUUUCAUUGUGUUCCAAGAAUUGAUUCACUAUUUGUCCCCUAUUUUAAAAUCAGCUCAUACUGAUCAUUCAAAUUGGUAUGAUGAGAGGUAAACACACAUACUCUUGGAAAAACUGCUUCAUUAAGACCUUUGUAAAUUAGAGCAUAGGACCCGAACAGAAUCUAUAAAACAUUUUCAAGGCCAGUUAAACAAUUUUCCUUAAUCUCUAGAUAGACUCUGAAUGUAAACUGAGUAGAGAGCAGGGGAGAUACUGAUGUAAUCUUGUAUUGUGUAACAUCUGGUAUCAUUUUAUAAUGUUGGGCAAGUUAUAGUGCUUUUCUAAAUUUAAAAAAAAAAAAGUGAACCUUUUGAACUACAACCUGCGUGUAAUCCAAAGGUGACCACUUACAGUAAACACAAUGGAUCAUAAUACUGUAAUUUCAAGUGGGCUUUUUUUGAUUGAUACAAUAUUUGAUAAUUACUUAAAACUUCAGCUGGUCACUUCAGUGAUGCAACUGUAGCAGACACAAGAUUUUGACUCAUUGCCUGAAACAUGUCACAAUUCUCUUAUGCUGGAAGAAUGCAGAGCUUGCAAUUAUGGAUAUGGUUCUACCAGUACUGGCUGUUGGAUUUCUUUUAGUUUGUUUCUUUAAAAUCAGCCUUGAUACCUGCUCCCAGGGAAAAUUUGUAGGCAGAGCAGAAUUCUGAAGAUGCAUUUACAGUAGCCUCACACUGUUCUGAAUAGAGGACAAGUUUGGCAACAGGGAUAACUAGAAAGAAAUACGAAAGUGGUGUAUCAGCAGCUCACUCUGAGUUCUGGUAUUAAAGGGGAAAUCCAACAGCAGAAACAAUUAGAAAGGUGCCCAGGCCUAUGAGACUGUGUGUUAAAACAUGAGUUCUUUUGGGGGAUGGGAGGAGAGGAAGGCAAGAUUAUGUAUUUAUUUAUGUGCAUCCAUUAAUCUUAAAAGAACAACUCAUGUGUAUAACCUGUACUACUUAUUUUGUCUGUCAAAGCUACAAAAAUAAGUGGAAACUAGAACUAUAGGUCAUUCACGCACUGGUAAUUCAGAGAAAUAAUACUCACUGACUGAUGUAUCCAUUUUUUUUAAUUGGCUGCUGGUGGAAAACACAGCUAAGCAGCAGUAUAUUUGAUUAAAACACAGUAACAAUG